AUUGAACGCUGGCGGCAUGCCUUACACAUGCAAGUCGAACGGUAACGGGCCUUCGGGUGCCGACGAGUGGCGAACGGGUGAGUAAUACAUCGGAACGUGCCCGAUCGUGGGGGAUAACGAGGCGAAAGCUUUGCUAAUACCGCAUACGAUCUACGGAUGAAAGCAGGGGACCGCAAGGCCUUGCGCGGACGGAGCGGCCGAUGGCAGAUUAGGUAGUUGGUGGGAUAAAAGCUUACCAAGCCGACGAUCUGUAGCUGGUCUGAGAGGAUGAUCAGCCACACUGGGACUGAGACACGGCCCAGACUCCGACGGGAGGCAGCAGUGGGGAAUUUUGGACAAUGGGCGCAAGCCUGAUCCAGCCAUGCCGCGUGCAGGAUGAAGGCCUGCGGGUUGUAAACUGCUUUUGUACGGAACGAAAAGCCUUCUUUUAAUACAGGAGGGUCAUGACGGUACCGUAGAAUAAGCACCGGCUAACUACGUG
Molecule: ribosomal RNA, 481 nt
Filed under: uncultured bacterium
Lineage: Bacteria
Description: partial 16S ribosomal RNA
Rfam family: Bacterial small subunit ribosomal RNA
Source: RNAcentral